UUGAUCGACUGAAAACUUGUUAAUAUAUGUGAAAUAAUAUUAAUUUUCAUAAAAAAACAUUUAUAUGAAUUGAAUUUAUAUUAAAAACAUUUGUACAGUAAAAUGAUAAUCGGACAUCCUAGGGACUUUGGCAGUACAAUGUUGUCAAAUAUGGCGGGUUAUAAAACUGUAGUUCUAAUACAAAAAGUAAUAAUAAUAAGUAAUAAUAAGUAAUAAUAAAUAUUAACAUAAUAAUGCAGUUUAUUAACAAAAAAGAAUAAUGCAUAUAAUAUACACAUAUGCAAAUAAUAUGUAAAUAUAUUCAUACGAAAUAGAAAUCGUAAUUAGAGAAUAAUGUUCAUAAAACAUGAUUAUGAUUAGAAUUAUGCAUAUCGGAUUAUUAGAUGUACCAUAUAUUAUUGUAUGUUGAAAUUUUAUUGUAUAUAUAAUGAAUUCAUAGAAAGCUGAACAAAUUUAGCUUAUCUUUAAAUUAAAAAAAAUAUAAAUUUCUAAACAUCUCGGUAUAAAGAUUAUCUACUAUUUUUAUACUAAACGUUACAUUACAACCAAUCGAAAGAAACUAUUUCAAGAAAAUAAUUUAUCAAUUUUCGUUUCCGUUAAACUAGCACACGAUCAGGGAAACGUAUUCUUAAACGGGACCGAUCGGAGCGGAAACACGUGUCCCCGGCUGUUUUUCAAAUGAGGUCAGAGGAAAUUUCUGCCGUCGGCCUUGAAAGUGCACUUGAUUCGCGAGCGCGUGCCUCGUAAACGCACAAGGCAACACGCGCGAGAAAGCUCCGGAUACUCGUGGCGCGUGUUCAGAGACGUUCCGUCAUUCGUUCGGCUCGGUCGCUCUUUCGAUUUCUCGACGUCAGCCACGUUUAUACGCACACGCGUAUAUGCAGCCAACAACGAUCCACGCGUGCACACGCCAGUGCCGUGCAUUAGACGAUUGCAACGUUGCCUGACGUGCCGCGCUGUAUCGUACGCGUUGUUGCCAAGCCAUCGGAUUAACCGGCAUUCCCAUAGAACCAUGCGAGUGCGCGCUCUCAGCCUUCGAACUUCGCGACUCUGCGAACCAUCGAACGGAUCGCAUUUCGAAUUUUCUCUUGCUCGUUAAGUACGUCGUUCGAUCUUUUUAUUCCUUGUACAUUGCCACUUUAACGGGAUUAUAUAUAUUCCAUUCGAUUUGAUCCGGAUUCGUUCUCGAAGGCAUAGCGUUUUACGAAGAAACAGUAUCACGGUAAAUCGAAGUAAUGAAAUGCCGUCAUGGGUCUCGAAACAACUCCAAGGAUCAAGCAAGGGUAGGUCAGUGCGUUGGGUAAGAGGAAACGCACACACUCUCCCAUCUUUCUGAACACGUCAUACGAUCUUAAUUACAUAGCUUGCAAACGAUACAGGUAAUACAUUUACUUUGUAAUGGAGAAAGGAAUAAAUAAUCAAUUUGAUUAUAUUUUGUGCUUAAUUUAUCACAUUUUUAAUUACAUUAUUAUUUGUGAAAGAUGUUAAAUUAUUACUUUUAAUUAUAAUAUAAAAUAUAUUUAAUUCCACGUACAUUUAUUUUAUGAUUUAUAAUUGAUAAAAAAAAGUAUACGAAAGAAUCUUUGUAGAAUUUAAAAAUACAGAUAUUCCGCAACAUAUUAAGGUAAUGACAAAAUCCUAGAAUUCUUAAGCUUAGCGAUAACUUAUCGCAAUUUACGUACGUGCAAGUGUUUGUUUACUUUUUGAACGAAUGGUAAGGCAUUGAGAAAAUUAUCACUAGUUAUUUCGGAUUAUUUUAACCUUUGGAUGACCUCGAUUUAUAUGACUGUCAAAGUUGUUGAGAAACUUCUGUUUUCACCAAAAUAUAUAUAUCUAAAUACAUAUAUGAUAGAUACAAAAAUCUUAAAAAUAUAUAAUUUUCUAUGACACACUAAGCUAUAUCUACUGUUAAACAAACUGAGUAAAAAUAAUUCUGAAUCUACGAGAUAAUGAUAAAGAUAACUCUAAACAAUCUCAAAUUUAUAGGAUCAAAAAAAAAAAAGACAUUUCAAAUCGAAAUUUAAUAAAAUUAAUUAUAUAUAAUAAAAUAUCCUAUCUGAUACAUAUAAAAUAAAAGAAUAAAUUAGACCUAAUUCUACAUUCCUAAGAAACAUAUAAAGAUGUUUAAUUUUUUUUAAAAGUUAAAAUACUAGAUAAUAUUAACUAUUAUAAUAUUUUAACUAAAAGAGACAAUGCAAUGGAAAUGAUUUCACUCUGAUCUAUAAGAUUCAAUAUAAACAAUUCUAAAUAUAUAAUACUAAUAAAUAAUAAUAUUUAUUAAAAUCAUAAUAAAGAACAAGAAAUAUGGUCAAAAAAAUAUGCAAGCGUAAUAUUUCAAGCAAAAGAUAUUGCAUCACAGUGACAUAAAAACUUGAAAUAGGAAUGAGAAAAAGAAGAGAUUGUAACACGUCAUCAAAUCUGCGAGACGAGCAAGUCUUGGUCAAGGCAGGUCAAGUCAUGUCUAAACUUGACACUCUGAUCGUGAUUGCAAUCGAGGGAGCAGAUCAGAUUGAAUCGUGGAGGCCAUAUACGUGGCCUUGAACCAUGAACACGACCGUGACUUUAUCGAAAUAGAAAAUAUGGAUUGCUCCGGUAUUCCUGACUGUUUUCUGGCACACUCGCCUUUCCAUGCGCCACAUCUCUGUUUCCCAUUCGUUCUCGCUUUAACGAUGUUUGCCUCGACGAAGGAAGCUAACAUGCGUCGAAUACUUACAACUUGUCUUGCAAAAGUCUGAACCAGAAGACUUAUAAAAUGUUUAAAAAUAUAUCUAAUCAAAGAUAAAAAGAUAAAAAUAAAAAAGUAAAUAUUUCAAUUUGAAGAAUAUUUCAUUUCAACUUUAAUAUGAAAUCAAUAUCCAAUUCUAAUUGAUAAAUGUAGAAACAAAAGUGAAAAUACGUUUUUUUACAAUAUAAUCACUUCAAAUGAUAAAUGAUCAAAGACCAAUGCAAUCGUAGUUAAAAAGAAACAAAACUGUAAAAUGUUACCAUUUAACCAAAUCGUUAUUAUUAUUAUGAAAAGUUUUCUGAAGAAGAAAAUAUUUCUUACCUUGUGUUUGUAUUACGUUUCUUUUACGUGUAAAUAUAUAUAAACUUUAUUAUAUAUUUAUUCUGUACUUAAAGAGAAGAAAUGAAAAAUCGUUUUUUAAUGACUGGUCAAUUUAUAAUUAAUCACUACUUGUAAUAUUAAAUUUGUAACAUCAACAUGAACAAAAAGUGUUUAAUUAUUAAAUUUUCAAAGUAAAAUCUUCAAAGAAAAUUAAUUAUUACAUCGUACUCGUACGUACUAAAACUGAUGAUAAUGCUUCAUACGAUGUAAUGAGCCCUAUUAUUUACAUAAAGUACUUAGAAGAGCCUCGUGUUCAUGGUCUACGGAAGAAAAAAAGUGUCGUAUAUACAAUACGAGAAGGUGAAGAAAAACAACGAUGUCGGAAAAAGUAUAAGAAUUAUUAAAAAAAAGAGAAGAAAAGCAUAUGACCAUAAGGCAGAAACGGGUUAUAGAUAUUCAGGUCAAACGGCCUACAAAGCGUGUGAGUAUUUCUUUCACGUUUACUUAUCAAUUGCAUGAUAGUCUAUACACGAUGAAUGUAAAGUUAUGUGUUACCCACGUAUCUACGUACCGUGAAUAAUGAUUUUUAAAUCUCUCACGAAACAUAGUAACGCUAGAAUAUUGAUUGAAAAAGAAAGAAUCGAUUUAUCGAAAGCAAAACGGAAACAUAGAGAUAGUUUACGUGUUAUCCGUCUUAUAUGUAAAUUUCUUGCCGAAACUUUCAUUUCGAAUCGAUCCAAGGUGAUGAAAAGAAUAGAUUAGAGUUUCGUUGUCAUAGAUUAAGAUUCUUUAAAAAAUCUAUCGAAUUAAAUAAAAUUAUUUAUAUAACAAUUCUCGUUAGUACGUAAUGUGCUCAGAAUUGCUCUUGAACUCUCGUUAUAAUUCUCGAAAGUACUUUCAAAUAUAUUUUUACAAAAAAAAAAAGGUAUCUAAGUUUUCUAUUCUUCACUGGUGGAUAUCGAGAAUGAAAGUUCUCAUCCUAUCGCGAGAGUUUUUAAUCUCAAGUGAAUACACAUAAUUUCAUAAGUUAAUAUGAAAAUUUAUAAAAGGGAAGAAAUGAUUCCAAUGUUUUGUACAACGAAUAAUCGGUAAAUUCAAUGGGAAAACAAACAAAUUUUGUUUUGCUGCCUUAUAGAUUCUCGAACCGGGAUCGAUUCGUUGUACGUUCAUUAUUUGCCCUCGUAAUUUUACGUGUGUUUCCUUCGUUCCGUACAACUCUCUAGUUUAUCGUAAUCAUUUCACCCGUUCAUAACAGGCAUAUUUAUGCUGCAAUUAACUCUCGUUAGCGGAAAGCCCAUCAAGUACAUGACUACGCCGGUAUAUCAGCCACACUACACCGCGGGCUGAUUUCGUUAUGCCGUUGAAACGUGCUGCCGCAAUCCUCUACACGGAAUUAACAAUGCAACCCUUUCCCGGCUACGGCCUCAAUGACCUAUACUUAAGCACCUUGUUAUUGUUAUUACCUAAGAGUAAUUAUCCAAUAAAGCGUGUGGAGAUAGAUUUUUAUAAAACUGUUCCACGAUGGAAACUUACGUGGUUUCCCGUGAAACGGGCGAGAAGAAACUUGGCGGAAACUUUUCAACAUUGUUGCCCGUAACGAUCUCUCUGUAAAUAAUAAUUGCAACCAGUUUCUCGCCACCGCUCUCCUCCGUUUCUUGAACAAAAACGAAGGAAGAAAAAAAGAAGGGAAAAGAAAAAGGAAAAGAGGGAAAAAACAGAUUGUUGGUUAAAUAAUUACGGGAAGUUGUAUAUUUCUUUUAACACGAAGAAGCUUAACAGAGAGGCGACAGAACGCGAACAACGAUCAUCCGUUUGAAAGGGCUCGAACUCACGGAAAAAUAAACAGACCGUCAUAUUUCUACGUUCACGGAUCUUUACUCGGCUUUCCAACCCGUUCAACGGAGUGGUUAAUCGGGAUCUAACGCUAUUUUUGUCGUUGUCGAAUCAAAAGGAUCUUUAGAUCGGCCCCGUGAGAAUUAAUCAACGACUCUCACCGAGUUUUAUCGUUAGUAAUCUCGAUCUUUUACCGAGAAAUCCAUAAAUAAUUUAUCAACGAAUGCGAUAAAUUAUCCGAUCCUUCGCACGAUUUUCCUAAUUACCGUUUCGUUAACAUUUUCACCCGUGAUUCGAGAAAUGUAUAAUCCAAACGAUAUGAUUGAUUCGAUCGUAUAAUUAACCUAACGUAUAGUGGAGGAGAUCGAAAUCCGAUUUGAUUAACAAUGAUUGUUUCAGGCGCGUUGAAAACAUGCAUAGUUGAAAAGGAGGGAAUUGUAGUGGAGGAACUAAUAAAGGAGAGGAAAUAGAAACAGGGAGAAAAGAAAGAACAAGCGUGUGCUUAGCAUUGACUAACCCCAUUUGGUAGCGAAGCGAGAGAAAUCCAUUCCAAGGCGCGGAACAUUACCCAAACCAUCGGCCGGGGCCCUGAAACCCAGCCAUGGUUGCCAUGGUGACCGCGUCCAUCCCCCUCUUCCUACUUGCCUCGUACAACCCUCCGUAGCCCAUUUUCCACCCCUUGCUCUGCCGACGCCCACACUACCGCCAUCAGCACCACCACCACUACCACCAACCACCCACCACCAAUGUCCAUCCCCUAUCCCUCCUUCGUGUUUGCCACCCCUUCCUUCUUCAAAGAUCUUUUUUUUCAUUUUUCCACUGCUCCAUGUCCUUGGGAUACGAAGACAACGUUCGAAACCUGUGUCGAUUAAUGUUAUCGCCUUAAGGUAUCACCUUGCUGUUAUAUUGAUAACUUUAUUUGAGGAUAUAUACAAGCAAUGGAUAUUUUUUAUUAUUCUUGAAUUCUUAUAAUCGAUAUCCGAUAUUCGAAUCUGCACAUCCAAGUAUUCGUAAAUUAAAUUUCAAUUUUCUUUUGAAAACCGAAAUGAAACAUUUCUUUCUAUUGUUUUUUUUUAAUUCAAAUUAAGGAGACUGAAUCGAAGUAAAUUUGUUAAUACAGUGGAACCUCCAUUAAUCGGGAUCUUGAUUAUCCGGCUCUCGAUUAUCCAGUUUAUGGGUCAUCAGCUAUCGGAUAUUUGGAUGGUAAGAGCUCAUCGAGCAUUCGGAUCUAAAUUGAAUAAGCAUUCGAAUAUUCGAAUCUAAAUUAAAUAAGCAUUCAAGUACCAUCUAUUCGGAUUUAUUUGGAUACUCGAAUCUUGAAUAAGUUUCGUACCGAUUAAACGGAUAAGAAUUAUAAUUGAUGACCAUCUUGAAAAUCUCGCAAUUUAUAUCACGAGCCAGAUUUGUAAAAUUUCAAAUUUUCCCGCCGAUUCUUCCUUUACGACAUAUGCUCUUAAUGAUUUGUAAAUUAUAAUACGUGUAUCUCCGUCGCAUUUUAUUAUCUAAGGAAUAAAACGUAUCUUAACGUGAUCGCGUAAUUUUCCCCAGAUUAGAAUUUUCAAGAGAUUUCCUCGUUAGACUCGGCAAACUUUGUAUCCGCCACGAGUAAGACCGAACUAACCAGGCCAGUUAAUAAGAAGUUGACUAGAGGAAACAAAAAGAGGGAGAAGGAUGUGAGGAAGAAAGUUUACACGGAACUUUCGACGCAUAAUUACGAACGCAACGGCAACGAACGAACGAAAUUUAAUUCCAGAAUCGAGAAACGAAUUUGUAAUUGGAGCGCUGAUUACCGUGGCUAUUUCCUUCCAGUUACAGUUUCAGGCGAUCACGUUCUCAAAUGUACCGAACGGUUCUUCCCAACCGUGUUUCUUCUCAAACAAUUUAACGCAAUUCUCUAUUUUUUAUUUAUUUCUUAUUUCUCUAACAAACAUAAUACAAUCGAAUCUCGAUAAUUGGAAUAUUUCUACAACACUGUUUAUACAGUUUCAUUCAUUCUCUUUUCGUUUCGUUACGAAAAUAAAAACUCACUUUAAUUCGAAUUUAUAGAAAAUAUUUCUAUAAAACACAACGCAAGUUACUCUCAAGAGUUAUUAUUAUUUAAGAUUUACUUUUCGUAAAUAUCCCUUUCGCUCGAAAAUUUCGAUAAUUCGAAAGCUCUAUAUACCUUUUCCCUUUAAUUAACUUCAAAUUACCAAGAUUCAACAUAAUUCGCAUUCGAUGUAAUUAACAAGACUCGUUGAAUUAAACUUUUCAGUUUACGUAUCAAAUGGCAAAAAAAGAGAAGAAAAGAAGGAAUCUUUUCAUUAUCGGUACAAUUCCACAGAAAGGAACGCGUUUUUUUCCUUCUCUUCGCCGAGAAUGAAGCGUGAAACGCCGAGGCUACUUUCUUCGCCGUAAUUUCAAGGUUGUCUGGCGUGUAACAGCAUAGAUAAAUUCUUUUUCUUUCGGUAUGUCCGCGGGCGUGAACGACGUGGCGUUGGUCCGUUCGCGUCGUCGAAUUAGUUUUCAGGUAGACUGGGACAAGAUUGUAACGGUACCGAGGCUCGAUCCGCGGGGCAGGAUGGGAUGGAAUGGCGUGGAGUUACAAGGCGGCGCGGGCGGUUCAGUGACCGACCGACCGACCGAUCGACUGUACCACGUCUGGAGAAAGAGCAAGGCGAAAAAGGAGGAGGGACAACGAGAGACACAGAAGGGUUCCCCGGAUACUUUGUUUCAGAAGUGGUACUCGUCUCGCUACUUGCGGUCUCGUAACUCGAUUCUUAAGCGGAUAUCGUUUGCACCAGGAGGACGCACCGAUGACAAAGAGGAGGGACGCCGCUACUAUCGUAGAUUAACGCCGACGAGAUCCCUCGCAUCGUUCACGGACACGAGCUUUCGCCAUACUUCUCGUCACGCAGGGAACACAGGGAUUUUUGAUGUUAAGAAGGAACGAGGUUUGAAAAGUUUGGUGAAUAAAUGUGAGUUCAAUUUCGAUCAGUUGUUUAUCGCGGGAGUUUGUUUAUUAGUGACUCGAUUAGAUAUAAUUGAGGAUCUUGAAGGCACGAAAAUUGGGUAAGUACGGAUCUCGAAUGUGAGAAAUUGAAUAGAAUCGAGUCUCUUGGAUUAUAGGUGAUUCUUCUUUUAUAUCGAUAAUCAUUUAGAGUAGAGAAUUGAAAAUUAUAAUAAAAUAAGUACAUUUAUUAAUUAAUGCGAUCUUUAAAAAGAUAGGCUUGAUUUCUGCACCAAGAUUUUCAAUUUUUUAUAAUUCUAAUAGCGCAUUUUAUUGAACAAAUUUUAAAUCUAUUGAAGAAGAUUGAAGAUUUUAUAUAUUUUUCUGCUCCUGCGGAAAAAGAGGAAAAUUGGCUAGGUUUUUGAUAUGAACUCUUCGAUUGUUCUUUGCACAUGGAGAAUUUUCCAUUCUAAAGAAUUUAGUAAUUCAAAGUAUUUUUUCUACAAAGUUAAUGAAAGCUUUUAAAAUUAAUAUUAAAAAUACGUUUCAUAUUUUAUAUCAACGAACAUAUUGCUUUUAUUUCAUUAUAUAAAUCUCGAUAUAAGUUUUAUAAGAAUUUAUUAUACGAGUGGAAUUAUAUGUGUUUCGAUUCUACGAAGAAGGGAAUACUUUGAGAUAUGAAGAAUUAUACGCAUUAUUGAAUAUUCCAAUUUAUAAGCAAUUAGGAAAAGAAAGAAUGAGAAAAUUAGUUUCUCAAUUCCUAAAAAGAAAAAAAGGAAAAAAUAUGACUUUUAAGAAAACCAGUGGUUAUAUUCAUCCAUUAAUUUUAUCUUUGAAUCUAUAUUCGAAUUCUUAUUAAUAAUAGAUAUCUCUCUCAGUGCAAAAUCUCAACUUCUUGAAAGAUACUUGCAUAAAAAAAAUGUACAUCAUAUGUCUCUGUCGAUUCUUUUAAUUAUUUACCUGAAUAGUUCUACGUGCGCAUCAAUACAUGACCCAACACAAUCAAUAUCGAUAUUAAUCAACGAGAUAUUGCAACGAUGACUCGAUACAUUUCGAUGAUGCAAGCGGAGAAGAGAAGGUAUCGUCAGAAAUCUGAAAACCUCCAAGAUUUUCCCGUCUAAAUCAUCACUCAGCGAUCAGGAUUGCAUUCGAUUCCGUUGUUUCAUCGCAAUUUUCGUAAGGACACUUCUCUCCACGAUACAAAACGUUGGCGCCAUCCCUCCCUCUUGCAUCAACCGAUUCACCUAUGCGUGCACACCGAACUAACGCUAGCCCCUUGCUCGGCUGAAUAAAUUACACAAUUUCCCUUCUCGUUCCAGUUCCUAUUACUAUAUCGCUUGCUCUCCUCCCCCUUUGCCGAUCCUCAAUGUUUCCUCCUUCUCGAGCAUUGUGUUUCGCUCUCUGGGGAGAUCCAUGAGGCAAAUAGAAACGACAAACGACAUGUUCGCGCCGAGAUCCAUCGAAAUCGGAUCUCUUUCGUUUGUCGUUCGAAUGUACCAUUUGCUUUUUCUCUUCUUUUAAUGAUUUUAGUUUGUACAAUUCUUUUUUUGUACACAACUGUUCAAUGAUAAUUAUUUUAAUGUAAGAAUGUAAGAAACGUAAAGAACAUUGACGGAACAGAUAACAAUUGGCACGGAGCAACGUAUAAAUAAUAAUCAUUUUGUAUUUUAAAUUACAUAAACUAAUUAAUUUAAAAAGAAAUUAAUCGUUCACAAUCAAAAGUAGCAUAACUCUAGAUUGAUAGAUACAAUUUUAAUUGUAAACGUUUUAAUUUUUGUAUUAUAAGUAUUAUUCAUAAUAUUAUUUAUAAGAAAAUGUUAUCAUAAUUUGCUAAUGUUUCCAUGAGUUACGAUAAUAUUAGAAAAAUAAAUUGAUAAUCAAUAUUGAGCGCUCGGAAGUGUGACUACGAACGAAUCUGUUUCACUUUCAACUUCUUGUGUUUCAGUGAAAUGGACGACGAGAAAGUUUAAAAAUCCAAUUUUUAAUUAAACUUUUUCGAACAAGAUUGAUUAGUAUUUCUUAUAUAUAUAUAUAUCUCUUUUAUUCCAAUAAUUUAUAUAAUAAAGAAUUCUUCAACCCUUUUUCGUCAUUCAACUGACUAUUUCUGAAAAGGAAACGAAUCUCAUCGCGGACGCAGCGCACGAUAUCUUACUAACACCUACUUGAAGAGCGCAAAGGAAGGUCAGUCUAUUAAUAGAGAAACCUGGGAUCAUCGGGCUCUCGACCAUCGAGAGUUCUAUCGUUGUCUUACAUAAUGGAAUAUUGCGCCGGCUCAUUUAAGACGAGACUAUCGGUUGUCCAAGACUAUCGGAUGAAUCCUCAUAAAUGCCUAUGAUAUAUAACUUUUUUCGUGUGAAAGAGAAGAACUUGACACUAAAAUACCGAUUCCAUUUCUUAUUUCAAAAUAAAAUGUAAACGAAAACAUCAAAAUUUAUUAUAUUUUGUAACUAAUUCAAUAAUUACUCUAUUACAGCAGAACUAUAUUUUGAGAAAAAUAAUGUUACAAUAAUAAAUUAUUAUUUACAACAAAAUUAAGAAAAAAUGGUUUUUAUUAUAAAAAUUAAGAAAGAUAAAGAUUCGUUCGUUAUUUUAAAAAGCUAUCAAAUCGCACAAAUUUUUUAAUAUAUAAAGAAAUGUGCAAAUAAUUUUCAAUUUUAUUCUUUUGCGUUUUAAUGCCAAUUGUGGAUUUCCAAAUAUUAUAUAAGUACUAUUGCCAAAUUUGUAAUGUUCUCAUCGCUUUCUAAUUUCUUAAGUAUUUCUAAUUUCGUUUCAAUAAUUAACACGUAAAUAGAAGUUUCGAUGUAUUGUAUACGUGUAUAUAUAUAUCCAUUUCAUAAACGUAUCCAGCAUCAAUUCUAAAUUAAAUUCUAUUUCCAUUGCUGUGAUAAGGAAAAGCAUCUUUUAUUAUGCAUAAAGAUAAUAAAUAAAAUAAUAAGAUAGAUAAUAGAAAAUGUAUAGUUCAGAUAACAUAUUUGAUCAAUAAAGAUUCCAUUGUACUCCAAAAAUGAAGAUGAAUAAAAAUCAAUUUCUUGUAUUUAUAUUUUGACAUAUAUAUAUAUAUAUAUAUAUAAAUAGUAUAUAAAAAGAAAGAAAAUGGAAUUUACAGUAAGAUUCUUUUAACAAGGUGUCGCUAGCACUUGCAUCGCUCUCGCGACUUUAUCGCUAACGCACCAAAGAAAACCGAGCUAUGAGAAGCUGUCAGCAGAGGGAACGAGGAGUUAGUGGAUAGAGUGUGAAUCAAAAGAAGUGGGGAUAGUGAGAAUGCUGCAAGCACGCUAGUAACUUCGGUCGGUCGUGAAAGUGCCGUAAGUCACGUUUUAACGAGCGCCCGAUUUAUACCGUCGCCGUUCCACUAACCUCGCAACGUCGACACGCUCUCGUACGAAAAAGCUGCUAAAUUGACGCGUACGGAAUUCGAGAAUAAAUAUCGUCGAUCAUUUCGAAUCGAUAUCGUAGUGCGUUCCGUCUAUUUAUGUGUCGUUUCGAUAGAUGAAAGUACAUAUAGUUAACAUCGAUGUGUUUACGAAUUACUCACAUUUAAUAAAUUUAUUUAGAUUAACCAAUAUAGUGGUCGAAUUUUUAUUAUUUAUUAUGUGACGAAUGUAAUUCAUAUACUUUAACAUUAAAUGAUAAUUCAGACAAAAGAUUUAUUUAUUUAUAAAAGGAUAUUUAUUCUUGGAUUUUUCUUUCGAAAUUAUAAUUUUAUUUAAAGAAUCUAUUUGAUGAGAAACUCAUUUCUUAUUCAAAAGGUAUAUACAUAUAUAUAUACAGUUAUUAUUUUACACGAGAUUUAUUGGUUUCAUUUUAAUUUAAAAUUAUUUAUUUGUUCAUCGAUUUACUUUCGAAGUGAAUCGCAUUUUUUCUUUCGAUUAUGCUUCAUUCGUAUUCUGGGAGAAUCACGAGCAUACUUUGUUCCCACCAUUGGUAAACGCACGUGUUCGCGUAGAUAUGCAAAUCGAUAUUACCCGCGUCGCUAUGUAGCAUCUAAUUGUCUGUCAUAAGCAUAUAAUCGUGUUCUCCAUGCAGGUUUCUGUACAUGUUUUAACCUGCUUGUGUACGUAUGCCUAUUCGUACGUGUUAGACAUAUCUGUUAUGCCUGCAUUUACUAAUCGCACGUUACAUUUGUACCUCUAUAUGAUUAUAAGAAUUUCUGGAUAUACGAACGAUAUAUACGUAAUCAAAAUCUAUAAAUGAUCUUUUAUGCACAAUAAAAAAAAUAUAUUAUAAAAAAAAUAUUAAAAUGACACAUUUACGAAAAAUAUUUAAACAUAAUUUAUUAAUUUUAAGGUAUGAUUGGAUAUAUUUAAAGUAUAUUAUUUUUUAAGUAAUAAAUUCAAUUUAAUAUAUUUAUAAAUAUAAGAUAAGAUACUUAUUUUAAAUUAUUACGUAAAUAAUGAGAAUAUAUGUAUUAUAUAUUUGUUUCUAUUGUUAAAAAUAAAAAUACAAACAAUUUAUAUUAUAUAAUAUAUAAUUUAAUAUGAAAAAUCGUCUUAUAUUUCUUAUAAUUAAAGACGAGGCUUUGAAUCGUGCAAUGCGCGAUGUAUAUCUCUUUGUAUAUAAACGUGUUUACCCGUAUCUAGAUACAUUCACAUAUAUUUCUCCAGAAUCGCAUUUCAGACGUACGAGGUGACAGUUUUCGUCGGAAUAACAAGGUAACAAACUUUUAAUGAACGUGUUCUACGCAUUAUUCGUAAGUACGCGUAUUAUUUUCAUGCAAAUAUCAGUAAAGUGUCAUAUGAGUAACAUAAAUAGCACUUGGAUGAGCGAUCAAUCAAAACUGUCGUAAACUUCUAUUCACUUCUUUCUCCGUUAGUUGUUACUUUCAGAUGCUUCAGAAAGCUUUCUUUUAUUGUAAUGGAAUGAUAUACACAUGUACACUUAAAUACAUUAUACGUAAUUUAUUACUUAUUUUAUUAGCAGUAUUUUAAAACAAUUUAUAAAAGAAAUUUUAUUGCAAAAGAUAACA
Long non-coding RNA from Apis cerana (Asiatic honeybee), 12774 nucleotides. RefSeq lists it as uncharacterized. Lineage: Eukaryota; Metazoa; Arthropoda; Insecta; Hymenoptera; Apidae. The record is from RefSeq and is a predicted model, not a curated record.